UAAGUGGUAAUGGAAGGAGACCUGGCUUGGGGAGGUGAGCACACAAUACCAUAUACACAUGAUAGAUUAUAGAAUUGUACACCUGAAAUCUAAGUAAGUGUGUAAUUUUCAUC
Long non-coding RNA from Myotis davidii, 113 nucleotides. RefSeq lists it as uncharacterized. The transcript has 3 exons. The record is from RefSeq and is a predicted model, not a curated record. NCBI's taxonomy places the organism in Eukaryota, Metazoa, Chordata, Mammalia, Chiroptera, Vespertilionidae.